UACGUAGGGGGCUAGCGUUGUCCGGAAUCAUUGGGCGUAAAGCGCGUGUAGGCGGCCCGGUAAGUCCGCUGUGAAAGUCGGGGGCUCAACCCUCGGAAGCCGGUGGAUACUGUCGGGCUCGAGUACGGAAGAGGCGAGUGGAAUUCCUGGUGUAGCGGUGAAAUGCGCAGAUAUCAGGAGGAACACCAAUUGCGAAGGCAGCUCGCUGGGACGUAACUGACGCUGAGGAGCGAAAGCGUGGGGAGCGAACAGG
Molecule: ribosomal RNA, 253 nt
Filed under: uncultured bacterium
Lineage: Bacteria
Description: partial 16S ribosomal RNA
Rfam family: Bacterial small subunit ribosomal RNA
Source: RNAcentral